RNAcentral lists this ribosomal RNA (448 nucleotides) under Staphylococcus haemolyticus. RNAcentral's name for it is "bacterial SSU rRNA". It matches the Rfam family "Bacterial small subunit ribosomal RNA", at positions 202 to 640 of the family's 1533-position model. The record is from RNAcentral. Lineage: Bacteria; Bacillati; Bacillota; Bacilli; Caryophanales; Staphylococcaceae.
AAGAUGGUUUUGCUAUCACUUAUAGAUGGACCCGCGCCGUAUUAGCUAGUUGGUAAGGUAACGGCUUACCAAGGCGACGAUACGUAGCCGACCUGAGAGGGUGAUCGGCCACACUGGAACUGAGACACGGUCCAGACUCCUACGGGAGGCAGCAGUAGGGAAUCUUCCGCAAUGGGCGAAAGCCUGACGGAGCAACGCCGCGUGAGUGAUGAAGGUCUUCGGAUCGUAAAACUCUGUUAUUAGGGAAGAACAUACGUGUAAGUAACUAUGCACGUCUUGACGGUACCUAAUCAGAAAGCCACGGCUAACUACGUGCCAGCAGCCGCGGUAAUACGUAGGUGGCAAGCGUUAUCCGGAAUUAUUGGGCGUAAAGCGCGCGUAGGCGGUUUUUUAAGUCUGAUGUGAAAGCCCACGGCUCAACCGUGGAGGGUCAUUGGAAACUGGAAAA